Long non-coding RNA from Nothobranchius furzeri (turquoise killifish), 2101 nucleotides. RefSeq lists it as uncharacterized. The record is from RefSeq and is a predicted model, not a curated record. Lineage: Eukaryota; Metazoa; Chordata; Actinopteri; Cyprinodontiformes; Nothobranchiidae.
ACACACUCACACACACACACACACACGCACACACGCACACACACACACACACACACACGCACCAACACACGCACACACACGCACCAACACACGCACACACAAACACACACACGCACACACACACAGCCAUGAGAUUGGGUCAUUAGAUAAAAGAGCGAACGUGAGAUUAGGAUUAAAGGACCGGGAAGAUUUUUCUACAUGAUCUCAGCCAGUGGCGGCUGGCCAGUAGAGGGCGAUAGGGCGCCGCCCUCCCAGUUUUUCCGUGUUUUAAAUUUUUAUUUAAAAAAAAUAAAUAAAUAAAAUUAACAAUAAUCACACAUUCUAAGUUAAUUGUGUGUUUUGUAACAAAAAUAAAUCAUAUAUAUAUAUAUCUAUAUUGGUCUCUGCCGAGCGGCGGAGGCUGUGUGCUGUUUUUCAAUCGCCCAAACAGGACGAGACCGGUUGUCCAAUUGCUGACAAGAAAAUCAAAGGGUAGGAAUGGGAAUGUAUCCAAUCAGCGUCGACGUUGUUUCAGAAGCAUGAUGGGCGAUAGAGCUACCGCCAAGGCUUUCGUUGGUGUUCGGUAGAACUCGGAGAGUCUCGACUCCAGCACGUUUUUGGUCGUGACUCGUGACGCACAUGGAGCAGACGCAGACAUGGACGCCAGUGAGCCUACAACAUGGACACCAGAUCUCAGCAGCCACUGAAUUCAGUUCGGUCUCUUCUCCAGUAUCCGUUCGAGAGGAGAACUAUGGUGGAAAAACUUAAUGUCAAAGAGCUUGGACCAGAUCAGCCCGACGUAAAGAUAAGCCAGCAGGACAAGGAGAGAGAAGGUGGAUGUGGAACUUGUGUCUCAUUGGAGACUCCAUUCCUUCUCUGACUGAGGAAUGCAGCGCAUCAGUGCAGCAGCCAACAAAGAAACGGAGGACGUUUGGACAGGGAGAACAGCAGCUGGGUGCAGAGACGAAGACGAAGAUGAGGAAGAGGAGGAAAGCUCCAGGAGACUGGAGGUGUGAAAGGUUCUGACCCUGAUUUGAGUCCGCAGCAACACAGAAUAAUCUGAUGUUACGGAAACAGACUGACCACUGGAUUAAAUGUGGACUGCUUGAAUAAACCUUAAAUUCAGGACCGACUGAAUGAAUUCCACCUUAAAUCUAAAGCACUGCUUUGACUGUUUGAGUUGAUAUCCUGAAUUAUUUUCAUCAUCUGUGGUGAAAAUAAUAAUCUGCUGGAUUCUGACGCUGAGCAGCAGAUUACAGACACAAGGAGUCAUGAUGAGACUCAUCUGCUGCCAUAGAAACACAAGUGACCUGGAUGUGUAUGGAACAACACCACGGUGCACCGUGCACACUUGUGCACGCUCCCAGACUGCUGUGCACUGUUUGCCUUCGUAUUGAAUGUGGCUGAGAGGAAGUGGGAUGUUUGCCGAACCUCAUCUUCCUGAACUGGACCUCAUGGAAGUUCUGGAACGGAAUGAUGAUUAAAGCAACUCGAUGGGGCUGGCUGGAACAUUCAUGGGGGAUUACCACCACUGUGUGUAUGUGUGUGUGUGUGUGUGUGUGUGUGUGUGUGUGUGUUUGAGUGUGUGUGUGUGUGUGAGUGUGUGUGCGUGUGUGUGUGUGUGUGUGUGUGUGUUCGAGUGUGUGUGUGUGUGUGUGUGUUCGAGUGUGUGUGUGUGUGUGUGUGUGUGUGUGUGUGUGUGUGUGUUCGAGUGUGUGUGUGCGUGUGUGUGUGCGUGUGUGUGUGUGUGUGUGUGUGUGUGUUCGAGUGUGUGUGUGUGUGUGUGUGUUCGAGUGUGUGUGUGUGUGUGUGUGUGUGUGUGUGCGUGCGUGUGUGUGUGUUCGAGUGUGUGUGUGUGUGUGUGUGUGUGUGUGUGUGUGUGUUCGAGUGUGUGUGUGUGUGUGUGUGUGUGUGUGUGUGUGUUCGAGUGUGUGUGUGUGUGUGUGUGUGUGUGUGUGUGUGUGUGUGUGUGUGUGUGUGCGUGUGUGUGUGUGUGUGUGUGUGUGUUUGAGUGUGUGUGUGUGUGUGUGUGUGUGUGUGUGUUCGAGUGUGUGUGUGUGUGUGUGUGUGGAUGGAUGGGUGCUCAUCCUUCCAUCCACUUAUCCAUCCACCCAUCCAUCCA